Mus musculus (house mouse) is the source of this 3376-nucleotide long non-coding RNA. RefSeq annotates it as RIKEN cDNA D830015G05 gene. The transcript has 3 exons. The record is from RefSeq and is a predicted model, not a curated record. NCBI's taxonomy places the organism in Eukaryota, Metazoa, Chordata, Mammalia, Rodentia, Muridae.
AGUCCUGGACAGUUGGAUUGGGGAAACCUGCAGUAGUCCCUAGAACGCCAGGAUUUAUUAGUGGAAAACUCAGAGGACUGGAGCUAGAAGAGGCCUCUCUGGCUUUGGAGAAAAACCAAGGUUUCAGGUUCCACGGUUCAGCUCUCUUUCCUGGUUCUCCUGCACCUCUAAAUCGCCCAAACUGAGCCCGGGAGAUUUCGGAGGUCAAAUCUAUGACCUGCUUCGGCCUCCUAGGCCUGACCCCCCUUCCAACAGACGCUCCUUCAGGACAGCGUCACAGCCUCCAAGGAGACAGGGGCCUGCCUCUACCAUCUCUGCGUAAUGAAGAAAAUAGCUCCGGAUGAUGACAAAUUCUGGUGACUAAAAUAGGGUCCAACGCAUUUUGAGACCUCAAUCCUGUAAUGGAUGGGGAGAGUGCUGUGAGUCACUCCUCUCUCCUCUUUCCUACUGGUCAAGGUCACGAUGGCCUGAUUCCCUGCAGCUCCAAGUUGGGGAAACGUGGCAAGGAAUACCUUUGAUCAGGGAAUAUGAACCUAAGCCUCAGGCUCCACCAUCUGCCAGAGAAAUGGCUCGGGUGCCAGACCUCAAGGUCACACUGGAAAGCAAACCUUGAUAGCUCACCUAGGUCCAAGACCGACGGACUCCUUGACGUCCUGAGAAGGGGAGGGGUUCAGAGUGCUGCACAGGAGUGGGAACCUCAACUGAUAUGCAAGGGACAAACACAGGAAUCUAAAGAUGUUCAUCACCAUAUGCUUAGAUCCUUGGACUUCCAUUCACAGCUGCUGCUGACAAUUGUUGGGAGUUGGACUGCAGACUGUAAGUCAUCAACAAAUUCCCUUACUAUAUAGAGACUACCCAUAAGUUCUGUGACUCUAGGGAACCCUGACUAAUACAAUGGCAUAGCCACUUUUGAAGAGUUUGGCCACUCCAUAAAAAGCUAAAUAUAUUCUUACUAUACAUAUGUAUGAUCCUUUGUAGUUAGCCAGAUGCAUUGACAAGUUAAAUACAUGCAAAACACUACAUAUAUCUAUUCAUAAUUACCAAAGUUCAAAAGCAGCCAUGAAGCCCAAGAUGAAUAGACAGGGUCUAUUCAUCAUCCAUACAAUGGAAAAGUAUUCUACAUGAGAAAGAAAUGAGUUAUCAACAUAGUAGCCUCAGCACUAAUCUACGUGGUUCUAAAUCUAUGACAUUCUAAAAAAACAAAACUGGAUACUGUAAAAGACCAGUUGUUGUCUGGGGUGGAGUCAAAAAGGAGGGAUGAAUAAGUGAAGCACCAAAGACCAAGGUAGCUCAACUACACAGCACUGUAAUUGAAGUGCAUGGCACUGUCUGUUCCUCAAGUCCCAUAGAGUGGAAAGAAGAGAAAGGCCUAGGGAGUCGUGGGCUGUGGGUGAUACUGAUAGCAAUGUGGUUCCAUUGGCUUUUUUGUUUGUUUGGUUUUUGUUUGUUUGUUUGUUUUGUUUUUGAGACAGGGUUUCUCUAUUUAGCCCAGGCUGGCCUCAAACUCGGAAAUCCUCCUGCCUCUGCCUUCCAAGUGCUGAAAUUAAAGGCAUAUGUCACCACUGCCCGGCCUAAUACUCUGUUUUUGGUGGAGUGUUGUUGUUGUUGGUGUUGUUGUUGUUGUUUUCUUCUGAGACAGGGUUUCUCCGUGUAGCCCUGGCUGUCCUAGAACUCACUCUGUACACCAGUCUGGCCUCAAACUCAGAAAUUCACCUGCCUCUGCCUCCCAAGUGCUGAGAUUAAAGGCGUGCGCCACCACUGCCUGGUGGUUCCAUCAUUUUUAACAAAUGUGCUACUCUAAUGAGGGAAUGAAAAGCCCAGGGGACUGGGGUUGGGGCAGAAGGCCUAACUGAACUCUCUGCUUUAGCUCAAUUUUUCUGGGACCCUAAAAUUUUUCUAAAAAUCAUCUAUGUUCAGAAAGAUUAUCAGACACCACCAUCAUCCCCAAAAAAGUGGAUUUCCUAUUGUUUGAUACUACAGGUUUGGCCAGCUCAGUCAGUACCCUUCUGCCGAUGUUAUCUUCCUCCAGUUACAGAAGAAGGCACAACAUUCCUAGCAAUAUACAGACUCUAGCUGAUGAAAAUAAUGGGAAAAAUAUGUUAUGUGUCUCAGGAACAGCAACUGUUGACCUAUAAUACUAAAAUAUCAGAGUCUUGAACUCGAGUCCCAUGUUGGGUGCCAUUUAUAGGCUUAGAUAUUUUUUUCCAAAACCUACUUUUAAUAAAGGUUCAUUCCUAAAUGCUUUAAUGUCCCUUCUAACCCAUCACCCACCAGAGGUAGUGAAAAGGAAAGGUUGAUAGAGCAAAGUAAGCUGUACACCUGUUUAAAUAUCUCUUUGGAGCAAAUCUAAUCUGUGUUGUCAGGAUAUUAGCAGUUGAGUUCACAUGAACAGUGGAGGUAGCUCGAUCCACUCACAAACACCAUUCACGAAUCAGCAACAGCAGGGGCUCACAAACACAAUUCUCAAAUCAACAACAGCAGGACUAGCAAACACUGUUCAUAGAUUAACAACAAUAAGUCGAUCCAGAAAAGAAUGCAAGGCUCUGCUAGUCAGCCUGAGUCUAUGGAAACAGCAAGAAGCUACCGGAACACCACCAGAAGAUUUUGGUGUGUUUCUAUUAAGUCACAACAAAUGAUGACCAACAAAGAGUGAUAACCCAUACCAAUACCACCCAACAUCAGCAAACCCCAAUGAAAACCAGCAAUGAAUGGCAAGGCCUACCAAUACCAUCCAGCACUGUCACCAUUCAUUGGGAUAUAUUUAUAUCCUUUACAAACAUCAUGUGUUCUCUCAAGCAUCCGCUCUAGCAAAAAACAUCACAUGCCCCUUUUUCAGGCUGCCUCCAGAAAAACAUUGUGGGUCUGUUUUUAGCAAAACAUCCUCCCACAUGUCUGUUUCAGCAAAAACAUCCUCUCAUACAACAGUUUCCAGAAAAACAUCACAUAAGACAACUGAGUCUCCAAAGAAACCAGAAAUGUCCAAUUCACCUAUAAAAAAAAAAAAAAAAAACAAAAACCCUACAAAGAUUGCAGGAGGAACACAUUAGUAAAGGUAGAUCACAAUGUAUCUAUAUAACAUUGUAGUUUAUGCUUUAUUCAUAAAAGUCAGAGCUGUAGGAAGAGGGAGUCCCUCUAUCACACACACACACACAUACAGCUGAGCGGCUAGGGAACAUGUCUGUAAUAUUAGAACUCAGAAGAAUGAGGCAAGAGGAUUUUGAACCUCAAGCCAGCUUGGAUUACAUAGCAAGAUCUUGUUUUGUUUUGUUUUUUAAAGACAAAACCAAAAAAGGUUAAGUGUGCUUGGUUUUGACAUUGGUAUCUAGAGAAAUGUCAUAGAUGUAUCAAAAGCAUGUCCUUUGAAAAACUAAGAAAA